Long non-coding RNA from Phragmites australis (common reed), 1554 nucleotides. RefSeq lists it as uncharacterized. The transcript is spliced from 3 exons. NCBI's taxonomy places the organism in Eukaryota, Viridiplantae, Streptophyta, Magnoliopsida, Poales, Poaceae. The record is from RefSeq and is a predicted model, not a curated record.
GACGACGAUGCCAAUGAUUGGGAGGGAGGGAGCGCGGGUGCGGCGCGUACGGGGGGAGGCGGGCACGACGCGAGGUGAGGUGGAUGAUGACAAGCGGAAGGAAGCGGGCCGCGACAAGAUCCACGAUCCUAGGAGACGCCGAUAAUUUCAAGGCGAUAAUGCCCUUGUGCUGGUGGAACCUGCCAUGAUAAGGAGGAUAGGAGAAAAUGAGUAGUGCAGUAACUAACUUGCUCAUCAUUUUUUAUGGCCUACAGUACCAGCCCUCCAAUCCCUGUCAUACAUGUGGCACUACACUUUAAGAUCAGAGGAGCAGAAUCACGUGAAGGGCAUGUGCUGGCUUGGAUUCUUGGAUGAAUGGCAUGGUCAUCGUGUCUGCUCUUGCAUCUGACACGACAGAUAUGGCUCACAUAUUCCCAUGUUGGGGAACCAACCUUUCCACAUGGCUAUUUGUACUGUGUCCAUUUGUUUUUGAGUUGGCCUGACUUGGGAAGGCGACAUGGUGCCAUUUCAGUACUAUUAGCCACUUUUUAUGAUGACAGUUUUGCUUCAUCACUUGGAGGCUCUGUGUAAGUACAACUGCAUAACAUUUUUUGUGCACCCUUAGUUUUUUUUUUAUAAAUGCAACAUCAUUAAUACGCGUCUAUCCUGAUGAACUCGUUAGAUUAUAUAGUACUGUAUGAAUAUCAGUAAAGGAGUACCAUCUGUUUCUAUCACAUGGAGGGUGCUCUGAUUCAGCUACUUUGCACUAGCUGGCGAUUCCAAUACUAUAAUAUAAGCUAGUAUUGAGUUGUUCGAGUUUUAUGAUCCUGCAAUCUCCUUUUUGCAGUAUAAAAAAUGUGACACGAAGACUAAAUAUCUUUUUUUUGGAAAGCUCCCCAAGAGUGAAGAAUUAUUUUUGUAUCUGUUGGAUUGAUUGUGCAAGGAAAGAAGGUUCCUGGAGAUUCACUUAGUUGACUAGCAGCGGAGAGGUGGAGAUUAUUGGCGAGAUGUACAAGCAGCCGUGGAUUGCCCCUAGGAGGGGAACCGGAUUGCACAAAUUAACAAACAAAAGGACUACAGUAGAGAAAGGACAAGAGAUGAUUCUCUGGUAUUAAGACAUCAACUUGUCCCACCCACUCUACUUCCCCUCCCUUUUAUACUCGCAAUAUCCAUUUUGAAUUCAUAUCGUCCUGCAACAUGCAUCCAACCAUCCUAAAGUCCGAUUCCAUUGUUCUUACCAUUUGCUACUGCGAAGUCCUUCUCUUUGCAUGCUAAAAUCACAUGAAUGAUGAGUCUGGAAAAGAAAGGUAGCCUGGUAUGAUCAUUGCAUGCAGAAAUCUAAUCUUGUACACUAGUGUAUACUUUUGCAGCAUGUCGUGAAUAUAUAUCACGCACAAGGAUCGUUAACAAAUGCCAAUGCGGUCCCAUGCAGUCCGAUGUUUUGCACCAUGCUGUGCAACGGUCCUAACGUGAUGGUAAACUUACCUUCCUCCUGAAAACUCGCUCAUGAGUUGCUCAAUUGUUUACAUUUCACGCCUUUUCAUGCUGCCACCGUGAUGGUAAAGGUGUUUCUAG